UACGAAGGGGGCUAGCGUUGCUCGGAAUCACUGGGCGUAAAGCGCACGUAGGCGGAUCUUUAAGUCAGGGGUGAAAUCCUGGAGCUCAACUCCAGAACUGCCUUUGAUACUGAGGAUCUCGAGUCCGGGAGAGGUGAGUGGAACUGCGAGUGUAGAGGUGAAAUUCGUAGAUAUUCGCAAGAACACCGGUGGCGAAGGCGGGUCUCUGGGCCGAUACUGACGCUGAGGAGCGAAAGCGUGGGGAGCGAACAGG
This 253-nucleotide ribosomal RNA is filed under the name uncultured bacterium. RNAcentral describes it as "partial 16S ribosomal RNA". It matches the Rfam family "Bacterial small subunit ribosomal RNA", at positions 524 to 776 of the family's 1533-position model. The record is from RNAcentral.